RNAcentral lists this ribosomal RNA (118 nucleotides) under Danio rerio (zebrafish). Lineage: Eukaryota; Metazoa; Chordata; Actinopteri; Cypriniformes; Danionidae. The record is from RNAcentral.
AGCUACAGCCCUAUCACCCUGCAGCCCAAGACUAGUUACACACUGAAGCUAAGCAUGGCUGAGCCUGGUCAGUACCCUGGAUUGGAGACCACAUGGGAAAACUAGGAGGCUGUUGGAA